Molecule: ribosomal RNA, 483 nt
Filed under: uncultured bacterium
Lineage: Bacteria
Description: partial 16S ribosomal RNA
Rfam family: Bacterial small subunit ribosomal RNA
Source: RNAcentral
AUUGAACGCUGGCGGCAUGCUUUACACAUGCAAGUCGAACGGCAGCGCGGGCUUCGGCCUGGCGGCGAGUGGCGAACGGGUGAGUAAUACAUCGGAACGUGCCCAGUAGUGGGGGAUAGCUCGGCGAAAGCCGGAUUAAUACCGCAUACGACCUGAGGGUGAAAGCGGGGGAUCUUCGGACCUCGCGCUAUUGGAGCGGCCGAUGGCAGAUUAGCUAGUUGGUGGGGUAAAGGCCUACCAAGGCGACGAUCUGUAGCUGGUCUGAGAGGACGACCAGCCACACUGGGACGAGGACAGGCCCCAGACCCCAACGGAGGGCAGCAGUGGGAAAUUUGGGAAAAGGGCGAAAGCCUGAUCCAGCAAUGCCGCGUGUGUGAUGAAGGCCUUCGGGUUGUAAAGCACUUUUGGCGGGAACGAAAAGGACUGUGCCAAUACCACGGUUCGAUGACGGUACCCGCAGAAUAAGCACCGGCUAACUACGUG